This 353-nucleotide long non-coding RNA is filed under the name Anas platyrhynchos (mallard). RNAcentral's name for it is "lncRNA (ENSAPLG00020000109.1)". Lineage: Eukaryota; Metazoa; Chordata; Aves; Anseriformes; Anatidae. The record is from RNAcentral.
AAUUCUCCCAACUCCGCCUUCCCGCAGCCCCCUCCCCAUUACCUCGGAAAGCCGCCUUGGCGAUGCGGUCGGCUCUGCCGCGGAGGCCGGAGACGGUGCGGAGCUGGAGCUGCAGAGCCAUGGGAUGGAGAAGGUCUCCCCCUGCCCCGCCGGUGAUUUAUCUUCCCCUUACACAAUUAAAUGGGAUAACGAAGGUGAGCAGGAACAACGCAGGAACCCAGCCGAGCCAACACACAGGUCCCCGACGCACGGCGCACCCGAAGCGUUCCCCCGGCUGGCUGCAAUCAGCAGAGCGAGCUCUUCUCCUCCUACGCUCGGAGCAAUCACAUCAGCCUCCCCAUUUGUCAAACCGC